AGCAGCCGCGGUAAUUCCAGCUCCAAUAGCGUAUAUUAAAGUUGUUGCAGUUAAAAAGCUCGUAGUUGAAUUUCGGGAUCAGUAUGUUGGUCGUGCUUCGGUACGUACUGUCAUUACUGGUUUCUACCUUCUGAAGAACCAUGAUGUCAUUAAUUUGGCGUCGUGGGGAAUCAGGACUGUUACUUUGAAAAAAUUAGAGUGUUUAAAGCAGGCUCGCGCUUGAAUACAUUAGCAUGGAAUAAUGAAAUAGGACGUUUGAUUCUAUUUUGUUGGUUUCUAGGAUCGACGUAAUGAUUAAUAGGGAUAGUUGGGGGCAUUAGUAUUCAAUUGUCAGAGGUGAAAUUCUUGGAUUUAUUGAAGACUAACUACUGCGAAAGCAUUUGCCAAGGAUGUUUUCAUUAAUCAAGAACGAAAGUUAGGGGAUCGAAGACGAUCAGAUACCGUCGUAGUCUUAACCAUAAACUAUGCCGACUAGGGAUCGGAUGAUGUUAUUUUUAAUGACUCAUUCGGCGCCUUAAC
This 519-nucleotide small RNA is filed under the name uncultured Glomus. RNAcentral describes it as "SSU rRNA". It matches the Rfam family "Eukaryotic small subunit ribosomal RNA", at positions 569 to 1092 of the family's 1831-position model. The record is from RNAcentral. Lineage: Eukaryota; Fungi; Glomeromycota; Glomeromycetes; Glomerales; Glomeraceae.